CAGGGCACCUGGCGUAUGGCUAAACAUGCGAGUCGAACGGCAGCACAGUAAGAGCUUGCUCUUACGGGUGGCGAGUGGCGGACGGGUGAGGAAUGCAUCGGAAUCUACUCUGUCGUGGGGGAUAACGUAGGGAAACUUACGCUAAUACCGCAUACGACCUACGGGUGAAAGCAGGGGAUCUUCGGACCUUGCGCGAUUGAAUGAGCCGAUGCCCGAUUAGCUAGUUGGCGGGGUAAGAGCCCACCAAGGCGACGAUCGGUAGCUGGUCUGAGAGGAUGAUCAGCCACACUGGAACUGAGACACGGUCCAGACUCAUACGGGAGGCAGCAGUGGGGAAUAUUGGACAAUGGGCGCAAGCCUGAUCCAGCCAUACCGCGUGGGUGAAGAAGGCCUUCGGGUUGUAAAGCCCUUUUGUUGGGAAAGAAAAGCAUUCGGUUAAUACCCGAUUGUUCUGACGGUACCCAAAGAAUAAGCACCGGCUAACUUCGUGCCAGCAGCCGCGGUAAUACGAAGGGUGCAAGCGUUACUCGGAAUUACUGGGCGUAAAGCGUGCGUAGGUGGUUGUUUAAGUCUGUCGUGAAAGCCCUGGGCUCAACCUGGGAAUUGCGAUGGAAACUGGGCGACUAGAGUGUGGCAGAGGGUAGUGGAAUUCCUGGUGUAGCAGUGAAAUGCGUAGAGAUCAGGAGGAACAUCCGUGGCGAAGGCGACUGCCUGGGCCAACACUGACACUGAGGCACGAAAGCGUGGGGAGCAAACAGGAUUAGAUACCCUGGUAGUCCACGCCCCUAAACGAUGCGAACUGGAUGUUGGGUGCAAUUUUGGCACGCAGUAUCGAAGCUAACGCGUUAAAGUUCGCCGCCUGGGGAGUACGGUCCGCAAGACUGAAACUCAAAGGAAUUGACGGGGGCCCCGCACAAGCGGUGGAAUAUGUGGUUUAAUUCGA
This 943-nucleotide ribosomal RNA is filed under the name Stenotrophomonas sp. MO1. RNAcentral describes it as "bacterial SSU rRNA". It matches the Rfam family "Bacterial small subunit ribosomal RNA", at positions 25 to 954 of the family's 1533-position model. The record is from RNAcentral. Lineage: Bacteria; Pseudomonadati; Pseudomonadota; Gammaproteobacteria; Lysobacterales; Lysobacteraceae.